AACGAACGCUGGCGGCAUGCCUAACACAUGCAAGUCGAACGAGACCUUCGGGUCUAGUGGCGCACGGGUGCGUAACGCGUGGGAACCUGCCCUUAGGUUCGGAAUAACUCCCCGAAAGGGGUGCUAAUACCGGAUAAUGUCUUCGGACCAAAGAUUUAUCGCCUUUGGCUGGGCCCGCGUUGGAUUCGCUAGUUGGUAGGGUAAAAGCCUACCAAGGCGACGAUCCAUAGCUGGUCUGAGAGGAUGAUCAGCCACACUGGGACUGAGACACGGCCCAGACUCCGACGGGAGGGAGCAGUGGGGAAUAUUAGACGAUGGGCGAAAGCCUGAUCCAGCAAUGCCGCGUGAGUGAUGAAGGCCUUAGGGUUGUAAAGCUCUUUUACCCGGGAUGAUAAUGACAGUACCGGGAGAAGAAGCUCCGGCUAACUACGUG
RNAcentral lists this ribosomal RNA (433 nucleotides) under uncultured bacterium. RNAcentral describes it as "partial 16S ribosomal RNA". It matches the Rfam family "Bacterial small subunit ribosomal RNA", at positions 29 to 507 of the family's 1533-position model. The record is from RNAcentral.